GCGAGGGUUGCCGAGCCAGGUCAAAGGCGCAGGGUUGAGGGCCCUGUCACGUAGGUGUUCGCCGGUUCGAAUCCGGUCCCUCGCA
RNAcentral lists this transfer RNA (85 nucleotides) under Methanocalculus sp. MSAO_Arc2. RNAcentral describes it as "tRNA-Leu". It matches the Rfam family "tRNA". From Rfam's summary of the family: Transfer RNA (tRNA) molecules are approximately 80 nucleotides in length. The record is from RNAcentral. Lineage: Archaea; Methanobacteriati; Methanobacteriota; Methanomicrobia; Methanomicrobiales; Methanocalculaceae.